This 2486-nucleotide long non-coding RNA is filed under the name Canis lupus familiaris (dog). Its description in RNAcentral is "lncRNA (ENSCAFG00000055445.1)". The record is from RNAcentral. Lineage: Eukaryota; Metazoa; Chordata; Mammalia; Carnivora; Canidae.
UCUUCACCUGUCCGUGGCUGAUGUAACCUCGGUUAGCGUAGCGUAGAGCUCAGCGUGGUUGCCUGCUGACCCUCGCUCAGCCGCCCCAGAACUGGUGGCCAGGGCCCCGGCCAGCGCAGCGGUCACAGAAAACCGGCUCCGCCUCCUGGCCUGCGCUGCCCGAAACAGAACCCGCCAUAGCGACAUAAUAUAUUCUAUUUUUAUAAUCUUCCUAUUUUUGUAGUUGCCUGUUGAUGAGAUGCUGGUUUUUCACCCCCACAGACCUGCAGCCUGCUCACAUCCAGGUGAAAUCCACAGCUCCUUUUUUUUUUUUUUUUUUUCCUUCUCAAUAUUCUAGAACCAUUCCAUUUCAAAGCACUUUCAAUCCAGCGGUUAUAGGGAAUCUCUCUUGUUUAUGUUGUGUGUGGAGCGGGGUGGGGGUGGGGGGACAAUUUCUUAAUGGAAUGGUUUGGGAAUAUUCACGUCCUUGUGUGCAGACAGGAUUGCGAGGCAAGUGCAUGUCACUAUGGAGUUAGUGAGAGGGGAUGUUCUUGAAGAUGAGCUUCCGGUCAAGAAGUGCAUUCUUACAUUGCCAGGAUGAUGCGUUCCUUUCUCUGUAGAGCAGUGGAAGUUCGGGAGUCCUUGGUGCCAACUGGUGUUUGGAAGUAGGGGCCUUUAAAGGCUUACCUAGAGAACGCGUAGUGUAAGGGUUAGGAAGGUUUUUAAACACUAAAAUAUAUAAUUUAUAGUUAAGGCUAAAAAGAAUAUUUAUUGCAGAGGAUGUUCGUAAGGCCAGUAUGAUUUAUAAAGUAAUGCAAUUUCCCCUUGAUUUACACCCACACACACACACACACACAUACACAUACACUUUUCUGCCUUUGACGUUGCAGGUUUCAUACAGUUUAUAAAAGUUCGGUCCUUUUUCGUAGGAGAGAGAAAAAGAUCCUGAGGAAAAACACGGCAUGGAUUCGGGCUGAUUCAGCCUGUCUGGCAUUGCCCCAAGCGGGAACCCCACCUGAGAGGCCUCAGAGUUCCACAGAAAAUUAGGGUACUCGAAACAAGUUCAGCCCCGACAUAUUCUUGUCCCCUUUUGAAAAAAAGUUUAGCGACGAAUAGACAAUUUGCACAUCUUGGCUAUGUACCUUUUUGUAAUGACUACGUAGGAUGAGUCGAAGGCAGGGAGAGCACAGGGCUGGUGCUUGGUGAGGGUGCGGGGGGCGUGCAGAGGGCCGACGGCGGGACCACGCGGCAGGCGGGCUGCGGCUCGGUUUCCUGAUUCGCUGCUACCGAUGACUUCCCAGCACAGUUUGGAAACAGAUUCACAUCGCUUUUCUGUAUCUCUUUCACAUUGUUUUGCUGCUAUUGGAAGAUCAGUUGUUUUGUUUUGUUUUGUUUUGUUUUACAAUGUCAUAUACUGCCAUGUUCUAGUUUUAAUUUUCUCAUAGAAAAAUGUAUUAAGGGCGCCUUUUUUUUUUGUAGAUUUUUUUUUUAUGUGAUCAAUUUUGACUUAAUGUGAUUACUGCUCUAUUCCAAAAAGGUUCCUGUUUCACGAUACCUCAUGCUUCUCUUAGCCAUGUGUAGACCAGGCGGUCAGGCUCCAUCUGACCCGCAGGCCCCCUGCUUCGGCAGACAUGAGGACGGGAUCCCGGAAACGGGCCUGGCGGGGUGGGCUCCAGGCCGCGAUUGUGCGCCCAGCCCGGCGUCCCCGGGGCCGCGACCGCUUCCUUCUCCCUGCGCUUGUAACGCUGGGCUGUCCACCUGACCCGGGACGUGCUACCAUCAUAGUUUUUUACAGCCGUAUUGUUCUUUACGUGUAGCUAUGAAAGUUGCAUUAUUAUAUUAUUAUUAUUGUAACAAGUGUGUUGUCACGUGCCACCGUGGUGCUGUGCUGCAGGACCCAGAAACUCGGGAUGAUCAGAAUAGCUUCUGGACUUGGUUAAAGUUCCGGGUGUUGCAUCUGUUAUUAUGUACCAGCGUUGUUUGUUCUCUUCAUUACAGCGUCAUGCUAAUUUAAAAAAAAGACUCCAGAUCUCAGCGAAGCCAGCUAACAGUGCUGUGUGCCCGAGUCGCCUAGCACGCUGCCGAACCAAAAGGAUUUGCACCGCUGGCAGCCCCUGCCCCAGCAGGGUCAGCCUGGGUGCUCCCGGGCCAUUGGCAGGCCCGGGCCCCGCCCCACCCCGCCCCGCCCCUGCAGGAACACUGCUUCCGCUUACCUCAACCGUUCUGGCUGCGGCAUCUCUGUGUCUGAACCAAACGGGGUCCUUGAGGGACGGUCUGUCCUCAUGGGGGGUGAACGUUGUGUGUGCUCAAAGGCCAAAGGCCGGUGGCAGGUCUGGGGAGCACAGUGGAGUCUGUCCUGUGACCAGCAAGUCUGUGAGGGUCUCUGGUGGGGGGGCACUUUUGGUCUGUGUGUGUUUUGGUGGCACACUGUGGCACAGACAUGUAACCGGCACGUUUCCAGCAGAAAAAAAGACAAACGUGAAAAGCCUAGAAAUAAAAUUGGUAAA